Molecule: non-coding RNA, 103 nt
Filed under: Rhodoferax saidenbachensis
Lineage: Bacteria; Pseudomonadati; Pseudomonadota; Betaproteobacteria; Burkholderiales; Comamonadaceae
Description: Glycine sequence
Rfam family: Glycine riboswitch aptamer
About the family: This family represents the bacterial glycine riboswitch. Glycine riboswitches usually consist of two metabolite-binding aptamers domains with similar structures in tandem.
Source: Rfam by way of RNAcentral
CCCACCCAGUCAGGAGAGAGUUUCCUUCGAGGAAACCGCCGAAGGCGCAAGAUUGCUGAUUGCAGCGGUCUGAACGCUCAGGCAAAAGGACUGACCCGCGUUG